This 510-nucleotide ribosomal RNA is filed under the name uncultured bacterium. Its description in RNAcentral is "bacterial SSU rRNA". It matches the Rfam family "Bacterial small subunit ribosomal RNA", at positions 8 to 548 of the family's 1533-position model. The record is from RNAcentral.
AGAGUUUGAUCCUGGCUCAGGAUGAACGCUGGCGGCGUGCUUAACACAUGCAAGUCGAAUGUAGUUUACUACAUGGCGGACGGGUGAGUAACGCGUGAGCAAUCUGCCCAUAUCUGGGGGAUAACAGUUGGAAACGACUGAUAAUACCGCAUGAUAUCGUUUGAAGGCAUCUUCUUACGAUCAAAGAUUUAUCGGAUAUGGAUGAGCUCGCGUCUGAUUAGAUAGUUGGCGGGGUAACGGCCCACCAAGUCGACGAUGGGUAGCCGACCUGAGAGGGUGAUCGGCCACAUUGGAACUGAGAAACGGUCCAGACUCCUACGGGAGGCAGCAGUGGGGAAUAUUGGGCAAUGGAGGCAACUCCGACCCAGCAACGCCGCGUGAAUGAUGAAGGUCUUCGGAUUGUAAAGUUCUGUGACGGGGGACGAACACAAUGACGGUACCCCGAUAGCAAGCCACGGCUAACUACGUGCCAGCAGCCGCGGUAAUACGUAGGUGGCAAGCGUUAUCCGG